Molecule: long non-coding RNA, 4112 nt
Organism: Prosopis cineraria
Lineage: Eukaryota; Viridiplantae; Streptophyta; Magnoliopsida; Fabales; Fabaceae
Exons: 2
Source: RefSeq, a predicted model, not a curated record
UCAAAGUAAUUGAUGAAAUUAACUUUGAUGAAUGUCCUUUUUUGAUUCAACUUCAUAAUUUGCCUCUUGAAAAAAUGUUUGUGAAAAAUGCAAUUUUUCUUCGAUCUAAGUUUGGUAAAGUUGUGAUGGUGAAAGAUCCUAAGAAAGGUGAGAAGACUAGGCAUGGUUUUCUUCAUAUUCGUGUUCUAGUUAAUAUUCAUCUAUGUCUUGUGCUUGGUUUGUGGGUUGAAAGACCUGAGAACGAUCCUGUUUGGAUUUCUGCAAAAUAUAAGAAACUAAAUGAUUUUUGUUUUAAAUGUGGUCAUCUUGAUCAUGAUCCUUAUACAUGUACUAGUGUGCAUCAGUGUUUUGAUAUAAAUCAGAUGAACUAAAAUUUGGAGCGUGGUUGUCAUUAGCACAAGUGAAAAGUUGGGAGGAUGCUCUUAUUGAAGUUGAACACGGUUGGUUUUUAGUGGAAGAUAUUAGAAGAAAGAGAGGGUUUGAUUCAUCAUGGAGGAGUAAGGCUCUUUUAUUAUCUUCUACCUCUGAGAAUUAUUCUAAAAUAGAAACAAGAUCUAUGGCUGGUGAAAAAUUAGUUGAAAAGGAAGAGAGUAUUGGUCAGUUUAUUCAACAGGAUGAGUUGGAGGUUGAUGUGAUGAAAAAGGAGUUUGAGAUUAAUGUCAAAAAGGACUAGUUGACUGUUGAUAUUGAUAAGUCAACUCAAUCUUGUAAUUCGACUAGAGAGGCUAUAGAAAAGAAUAAAAAAGGAAAGAAAAUUGUGUCUGGGCCUGUUGAUGAGAAUUUGGGUCGUCUUGCUGAAAAUAAAAUUUGUUUGGAAGCCCAAUUGAAAGAUAAUUUGCAAACUAUUGACAGGACUAAAGGUGACAUUUUUCUUGAUAUUGGUGCUAGUUUUGUUCCUGAAAAUCUAGAAAGGGCUAUCGUUCCCUUUUAUAGAAAAGAAAAAGUGACUACAGUUACAGAAAAAUUGAAAGUUGUCAGUUUGAAGACAGAUGCUGAUGAAGAGUUAUGGAAUGAAGUGCAUAAAAGAAGAAAAUCUUGUAGUUAGGAGGUGAAUCAAAAGGCUGUGGUUUCUAUUUUGGCUAAAGGUCUUCGUAAAGAGAAGUUAAGGGUUCGAAGAAGUCGAAAAAAGAGUUUAACAAAAACAAAUAAAGAAGCUAUUGAGGAUGGAAAUUUGUUUAAUAUUCCUUUUGAGCUUAUGAGUUCUGAGGAGAUAGGAAAUUUAGUGGAAAGGGGAAUAAGAGAAGUGAUUGAUGUUGAAGGUGUGGGUGGCUGGCCUUUAACAACCACCAUAGAGCUAUGAAGCUUAUAUAUUGGAACUGUCGAGGCUUGGGGCUGCCUUGACAAUUAAAAAUCUCAAAGAGAUUAAUAGAAAAUUCAAGCCCUCAAUCAUUUUUCUUAUGAAGACUAAAAUGCUGGAGAAAAAGUUGAAAACAAUUAGGAGGAGAUGUCAUAUAAAGAAGGAUUUUUAUGUUAAUCCUAAAGGGAGAUCAGGAGGUUUGGCCCUGUGGUGGAAUGGAUUUAUUGAUGUUGAUGUGAUCUUUAGUUCUCGAAAUUUAAUUCAUGUGCAUUUGUAUUCAUCUACUAUUUCCGUGCCCGCUUUUGUUACAUUUGUCUAUAGUCAUCCUAUUGAGCAUGAGAGAAGGGCGGUGUGGAAUAGAUUAAGAUCAUUAGCUAGAGGUGUAGUGGGGUCUUAUUGUUGCAUUAGAGACUUCAAUGAUUUAGCUUCUAUUUUUGAAAAAUCAAGAGGUAGAUUGAGAGCUUUAAGGGUGGUAAGAACUUUCAGAUGACUCUUUUUGACUAUCAUCUUAUAUAUAUUGGUUUUCAAAGGUCAAGGUUUACAUGGAAUAAUGGCAAAUUAAGGGAUGAUCAUGUAAAGGAGAGGUUGGAUAGGUGUGUUGGUAAUUCUAAGUUUCAUGAGGAAUUUGAAAAGGCUAUGGUUUUCCAUGUAGAGCUGAUUAGCUCAGAUCAUCAUAUCAUUCUUCUUGAUUGUUGUUUUAUUAAUAAAAGAUCACAAAAGAUGUUUCGAUUUGAUGCCAACUAGGUUUCACAUACUGAUUAUGAGAAAGUGGUUUCUAAGGGUUGGAAAAGAGUAUAUGUUUUUUGGGAUAAUAAUAGGCAAGAGAUUGUGGUUCAUCAAGAUUCUUGUAAGAAAGAGUUGAGGAAAUGGAGUAAAGAAGUGUUUCCUAAUAAUAAGAAGGUUGUUGAUGAGUUGAUGGUGAAAUUGCAAGCUUGUAAUGAGGGCAUAUGGGAUGAAAACACAAAGAUAAAAGCAAAGAAAAUUGUAAAGCAGAUUGAUAAGGUUUGGAGAAGGGAAGAAAUUUUUUAGUGGCAAAAAGCUAGAGUCAAUUGGAUCAACUUUGGUGAUCAAAUACUAAAUUUUUUCACUCCACUGUCUUACAGAGGAGGGCUCAUAAUAAGGUGUUAAAGUUGAGAGAUGAUAAUGGGAGUUGGUUAGAAGAGUCUACUAAAAUUAAUAGUAUUUUUUUAGCAUAUUAUAGAAAAUUAUUCUCUUCUGUUGGACCAAGACCAAUGGAUGAGGCUCUGCAAUAUGUGAGGAAAGUAAUUACUGAUGCUAAUAAUCAAUCCUUAAUGAUGGCUAUGUCUGAAGUAGAAAUUGAGGAGGCAGUUUUUCAGCUUAAUGCAACUAAUGCUCCUGGUCCUAACGGCUUCACAGGUUUGUUCUAUCAAUCUUCUUAGUCUACUGUGAAACCUAGGAUUUUUAAAUUGGUUUUUUAGUUUUUCAAUGAUGGAUUGAGUUGAAUGAUAUUAACAUGACAAUUAUUGUCCUUAUCCUCAAAGUAGAUAAACUUGAAGCUGUGAAUCAGUUUAGGCCUAUUGGUCUCUGUAAUGUUGUUUACAAAAAUAUUUCAAAAAUUUUCACUAAUAGAAUAAAGGGGUUGAUGAUUAGAUGUAUUUCACAAUAGCAGAGAGGUUUUAUUGCUGGUAAGCUAAUGCAUGAUAAUAUAAUUGUGGCUCAUGAAGCCUUUCAUGAUUUGAAAGGUAGAACAAAUUGUAAAACUAUUGAAUUUGCUAUGAAAGCUGAUAUGGGUAAAGCAUAUGACCAUAUUGAAUGGGAUUUCUUGUAUGCUAUGUUGAUUCGUAUAGGUUUUGAUCUGAAAUGGGUUGAAUGGAUUAUGAAGUAUGUGUCUUUUGUAGAAUUUGAAUUGAUAAUGUCUGAUAAGAGUAUUGACAAGUUUAAGCCACAAAAAGGUGUAAGGCAAGGAGACCCUCUUUCUCCCUUUCUCUUUAUUAUAGUUGCUGAUGUGUUAUCUCAAAUGGUAUCUUAUCAUAUUGAAAAAGGGGAUUUGAAAGGUAUAAGGUUGGCUAAACGGUAUCCUGUAUUAUCCCAUUUAUUUUUUAUGGAUGAUUCUCUCUUUUUUAUGAAAGCGGAGAAAGAUAAUUGUGUGAUUUUGAAGAAAAUAAUAGAUGUAUACUAUGCUGUUUAUGGUCAGCAAAUUACUUUAGAAAAAUCUUGUCUAUUUUUUUCCUCUAAUGCUGAUUCUGAUUUAAGAGAAGAAAUUUCUACUAUUCUUCAAAUUCUUGAUGUAGAUCAACCAGGUAAAUACCUUGGUUUGCCUAUGAUUUAGGGGCGGUCUAAGGCUGCUUCUCUUGCUUUUGUGAGAAACAAGAUUGGGUUGAAGAUUCAGGGUUGGAGGCAAAGAUUACUAACCUUUUCAGGAUAUUAUUACAGCUAAAGAAUCAUGCAAAGAUGUUGGUUUCUCUUUGGUGGCUCACCAAGGUAAUGAAGCUGCUAACUUCUUAGCAGUGAUAGGCUCUAAGAAAAUGUGUUCAAUGGAAUGGCUUUCUGUAGCUACAUCAUUUUUGUUUAGGUUGUUAUUUGUUGAUUUGGAAGCUUAUAAUUGUCAUCAUUUUUCUUUUGCUUCUGCUGGUUUCUCUCAUAAUAAAGAGGGAAUUGGUUAAUAUGUUGUUUUAGUUUUUUAGAUUGAACAGUUAUGUUACUGUUUUUGGUUGGUUUUUUUUUUUUUGUUUUGUAAGUUAAGUGUUAGGUUGUAUUUUAGGUUUUUUUUUUGAGUGUUUUUUGGCUUUGAUUAUUAAUGUUUGUAAUAAUUUUUUGGAGAUAAAUAAAAUUGGUUUUUUUUGAAAAAAAAUAA